ACCGCGAUCCCGUAGGAGGCGUCCCUUUUGGAAAUGCGCACGGAAGUCGUAGUUGUCACCGCCCAACAGGUGGCAAAGGAGAACGUAGCUGGGUGGCCAUAUUUGAAGUGGGUGAAGGCUUCGAUGAAAGAGAAAGAGAAGUUACAGGCCGUAAGCGGAUCUAGAAAUGAGGUGAGGGUGUGGACACAGUGGAGAAGGUAGAUGAUCUUAAAGAAGGAGGAAGAUAAGAAGGGAUAAAUAAACAACUGGGAA
Molecule: long non-coding RNA, 252 nt
Organism: Fukomys damarensis (Damara mole-rat)
Lineage: Eukaryota; Metazoa; Chordata; Mammalia; Rodentia; Bathyergidae
Exons: 3
Source: RefSeq, a predicted model, not a curated record